CCAAAGACCAGAAAGCAGGGCCUGGCUCUCUUUGUUGUUGGGAAGGAGUCCGCCAGCGCCACCAGUGUAAAAUAAAAGCUGUUCACCGCUUCCAAAUCCUGGGUGUCGCUUUGGUGUUUCUGCUUGCCGCGCCAAGCCUCUGAUUCCCAAUUUUAAACUCUAUAUCCAUGAGAUCAACUUUCUGAGCUUCCAGAAUUACAGUGACAUUUCAUACAUCAACCUCAGAUUCACCAACCUUCCUGUGUAAGAACCGCUAACUUUGCGCCAAUGGAGCACCAAUCACCAACCUUUCUGUGCUUAGUAAUUCUAAUAAUUUUUCAAUAUAUUUUUUAGAUUUUUCUGUAUAUUCAAUAGUUAAUUCACAA
Cavia porcellus (domestic guinea pig) is the source of this 365-nucleotide long non-coding RNA. RefSeq lists it as uncharacterized. Lineage: Eukaryota; Metazoa; Chordata; Mammalia; Rodentia; Caviidae. The transcript has 3 exons. The record is from RefSeq and is a predicted model, not a curated record.